CUACAGCAGUACUAUCCUGGUGUGCUGAUGGAGGCUUCUGCAGGGAGUAGGCUAAUACCUCAACAGUGGAGACAAUGUAUUCACAGGUUUCAGAGUGUGGCUACUUGCUGUGAAAGCUGAGAAUGAAGCACUGCAUUAGCAAGUCCUGAAGAUCCUUUCCAGCUCUUUGAUUAUUUGACAUUCUGACUGGCACAAAGAGGCACACCUGCAAUCCUACUGAGCGUUCCAUGGAUCAUUAAUGAUUUUUCAUAGUGAAGGAAGCAGAGGUUUUGUGACUCAUACUGGCUUGCUUGCUCCUCAGCUUGCAGACGACCUAUUGUGGAACUUCACCACGUGAUCAUGAGUUUUCUCCUUGUACACAACUUUAAGAUUGACUUGCUCAUUCAUUGCGGUGAGUAGUAAGACGCAAACCUUCAAUCUCCAUAUGCCUCAGGUAAGUCUUAAAAGCAAAAUAUGUUCUGCAUAAAGGUGGAAGAAUAAUGAUUUAGAAUCUGUGUAGUACAGAAAUAGGAUAAUGUCGAACCUGCUCCUCUCCUAGGCCUGUGGUACUUUGGGUGCUGGAAUUAGGCAGUUACUACCAAGGAUUGCUGCAAAAGAAGCAGUGAUGUUAGGUGAAUAAAUAUUUUGGUACAGAAAUGCCAACAAUAGGUGGUUCAUCUCAAAUAAAACCAAUAGAUCAACUGCCCAACUUUGUUAGCUUGCUAGGAAGUUAGUUAUAAUUACAACUAGAGUCUAAGGCAUAUUUUCUAGUCAUUAACAUAUUCCAUACAAUCUUGAUAGCAUUAUUCCAAAAACCAAGAUCAUAUCAUUAAUUUAAACCUAUUCCAUGCAGUGACUAUUCAGAGAAAGUAAAUAGUAUCUUCUCUUAAUAGAUGUAUGCUCUUUUGUACCAUAGAUUAUCUUUACAGUAGUAACUUGGCACUAAUUUGACUUUCAAAAUUGAACUGCUGCUGAUAAAUCUCUUAAAAAGUCUUUUUUAUAUGUAGUAAAAUGUUUAAGAAACAUUUAAAAAGUUAGAACAAAAAGAUAAAAUGAGAAACAGAAUAUGAAAUAAAUCAGUGUAAGACCUUGGUAUUAUACCAAGGUCAGGAAGACAGUUCAGUAGAAUUCAAAUUAUUAUUGUAUUGCUGUUCUUUACUUUGGGAAAGGUGUAUGUGUAUGUAAGAAGUUGCACAUAUAGUGCCAAACAAAUGUCUUCAAAUUUAAGAACAAUGCCCAUGAAAGGAAAAUCAACCUAACAAGAAGGAAAGAAAUGUUAGUAUUUAUAACAGAAGAAACCUUAAAAGGAAGGGGUUAUGAUCUUGUAUAAGAGUAUACAUAUAUAAGUAGAUAGAUACACAUAUUAUAAAUAUAUUGACAUAUGAACAUACUUAACUACAACAUAGCUGAUAUUCUAAAAAUAAAAUAUCGAAUUGUGAUUUUGUGUAUGUUUCUUUUCAGUAAACAAAGGGUAUUUAAGGAAAUAUAAAAAUUAAUGCAAUGGAAAAUAUAUAUUUGCCUGUGAUAGUACUAAAAUUUGUUACUGGAUAUUUCAAUUAAACUUAAAAAUGUAAAAAGACAAAACGAGGAAGCAACAAAGAGAUUUGCAGCACAGCAAAAAAUGGCCACCAAGAGAUCACAUUUGUCUUCUCUGCACCUGGCUUGGUCUGACAGUACUUCAAAAUUGUACUGGGGAUUCUGGCACCAUUUUUAUAAAGGUAAAGAUUGGGUAACUUGACAUCCAAAAGAAAGUUAAUAUAAUAAUUGGUUUUACAUGUGACUAUAUCCUCAGUUUCAUCAUAUUUACUAAAGGAGAAAGAAAAACCUGACUUAUAAAUGUGGCUCACCUUAUUUAAAAUUACUUAGCCUGUGGAAUAAAUAAAUUGUGGUGGACAGAAUCUAAGGUUGCAUUCAUGGUCCCUGACUCCUGGUGUUCAUGUCCUUACAUGACUCUUUCCCCUAGAGCAUGGGUGGGAAAUAUGACUUGCUUCUAAGCUCUAGCAUAUGCAAAGGGGAUGAGAUGUAUGUGACUGUGCAUACGUGGUUACAUGAUUACAUGACAUAAGAUGAAGUGCCGUCUUGCUGGAGUCUCUCACUGCCUUGUUGACUAUGAAGAUGGAAGUUGCCAUGUGGUGGGCUGCCUAUGUUGGGAGACCCACAGAGGAAAGAACUGAGAGAGCCUACAGGCUGAUGGUGGCCUCCAUCCAACAGUCAGCAAGAAAUGAAGCCUUCAGUCCUGCAGCUGCCAUUUUCGACUAAGCGUUCCAUCUAACUCAUCACAAAGGCUUCCAGAAAAGGCAUGAAAAGAAGAAAUACAAAGGAGGACUGUUCAGCUGAUGUCAAAGGACUAACUCUUGGUCUAAAUUUUUCAUUUUUCAGUGAAUUACAACAUGCAGGACUUUAACAAUGACUCUGAAUACAUUUUAAGGAACAAAAUAAAAGUGAGGAUUGCCACUUUACAAUCUCCGAUCCAAGAAGCUACAUGUUCUUUUAGGCAGAUUGACACAAGCUUUAAGUGAGCAAAGGGCUGAAAGCAGAGUAUUUUCAGUCACUGAAUUAUACAUAUUAUAAAUGUGACUUCUGUUGAAUGUGAAUUAUA
This is a long non-coding RNA of Cercocebus atys (sooty mangabey), 2578 nucleotides long. RefSeq lists it as uncharacterized. The record is from RefSeq and is a predicted model, not a curated record. Lineage: Eukaryota; Metazoa; Chordata; Mammalia; Primates; Cercopithecidae. The transcript has 6 exons.